Molecule: ribosomal RNA, 492 nt
Filed under: uncultured bacterium
Lineage: Bacteria
Description: partial 16S ribosomal RNA
Rfam family: Bacterial small subunit ribosomal RNA
Source: RNAcentral
AGUGAACGCUGGCGGUAGGCCUAACACAUGCAAGUCGAACGGCAGCACAGUAAGAGCUUGCUCUUACGGGUGGCGAGUGGCGGACGGGUGAGGAAUGCAUCGGAAUCUACUUUUUCGUGGGGGAUAACGUAGGGAAACUUACGCUAAUACCGCAUACGACCUACGGGUGAAAGCAGGGGAUCUUCGGACCUUGCGCGAUUGAAUGAGCCGAUGUCGGAUUAGCUAGUUGGCGGGGUAAAGGCCCACCAAGGCGACGAUCCGUAGCUGGUCUGAGAGGAUGAUCAGCCACACUGGAACUGAGACACGGUCCAGACUCCUACGGGAGGCAGCAGUGGGGAAUAUUGGACAAAGGGCGCAAGCCUGAUCCAGCCAUACCGCGUGGGUGAAGAAGGCCUUCGGGUUGUAAAGCCCUUUUGUUGGGAAAGAAAAGCAGCAGGUUAAUACCCCGCUGUUCUGACGGUACCCAAAGAAUAAGCACCGGCUAACUUCGUG